Molecule: unclassified non-coding RNA, 343 nt
Filed under: soil metagenome
Description: partial contains 5.8S ribosomal RNA, internal transcribed spacer 2, and large subunit ribosomal RNA
Rfam family: 5.8S ribosomal RNA (bases 1-120)
Source: RNAcentral
GAUGAAGAACGCAGUGAAAUGCGAUAGGUAAUGUGAAUUGCAGAAUUCAGUGAAUCAUCGAAUCUUUGAACGCACAUUGCGCCCGCUAGUAUUCUGGCGGGCAUGCCUGUCCGAGCGUCAUUUCAACCCUCAAGCCCCCGGGCUUGGUGUUGGGGAUCGGCGAGCCUCCGCGCCCGCCGUCCCCUAAAUCUAGUGGCGGUCUCGCUGUAGCUUCCUCUGCGUAGUAGCACACCUCGCACUGGGAAACAGCGCGGCCACGCCGUUAAACCCCCAACUUCUGAACGUUUGACCUCGGAUCAGGUAGGAAUACCCGCUGAACUUAAGCAUAUCAAUAAGCGGAGGA